UACGAAGGGGGCUAGCGUUGUUCGGAAUUACUGGGCGUAAAGCGUGCGCAGGCGGCUUCUCAAGUCAGGGGUGAAAGCCCAGAGCUCAACUCUGGAAUUGCCUUUGAGACUGAGUGGCUUGAGUACGAGAGAGGUGAGUGGAAUUCCCAGUGUAGAGGUGAAAUUCGUAGAUAUUGGGAAGAACACCGGUGGCGAAGGCGGCGAGCUGGUCCAUUACUGACGCUGAGGCGCGACAGCGUGGGGAGCAAACAGG
Molecule: ribosomal RNA, 253 nt
Filed under: uncultured bacterium
Lineage: Bacteria
Description: partial 16S ribosomal RNA
Rfam family: Bacterial small subunit ribosomal RNA
Source: RNAcentral